GAUGAACGCUGGCGGCGUGCCUAAUACAUGCAAGUCGAGCGAACGGACGAGAAGCUUGCUUCUCUGAUGUUAGCGGCGGACGGGUGAGUAACACGUGGAUAACCUACCAUAAGACUGGGAUAACUUCGGGAAACCGGAGCUAAUACCGGAUGAUAUUUUGAACCGCAUGGUUCAAAAGUGAAAGACGGUCUUGCUGUCACUUAUAGAUGGAUCCGCGCUGCAUUAGCUAGUUGGUAAGGUAACGGCUUACCAAGGCAACGAUGCAUAGCCGACCUGAGAGGGUGAUCGGCCACACUGGAACUGAGACACGGUCCAGACUCCUACGGGAGGCAGCAGUAGGGAAUCUUCCGCAAUGGGCGAAAGCCUGACGGAGCAACGCCGCGUGAGUGAUGAAGGUCUUCGGAUCGUAAAACUCUGUUAUUAGGGAAGAACAUAUGUGUAAGUAACUGUGCACAUCUUGACGGUACCUAAUCAGAAAGCCACGGCUAACUACGUG
RNAcentral lists this ribosomal RNA (496 nucleotides) under uncultured bacterium. Its description in RNAcentral is "partial 16S ribosomal RNA". It matches the Rfam family "Bacterial small subunit ribosomal RNA", at positions 28 to 507 of the family's 1533-position model. The record is from RNAcentral.